CCCUCACGUCGGCGAUGUUGCGGAUGCCCCCGAGGCCUCUUGCUCUUCUCCCGUCCUCCAGGUCUCGUGUCGGUGACCUCAGGGAGACGGCGAAGUUGAUUCGGUGACCGUGGUGGCACAUGUUGGUGGGCGGCGGGAUGGGCGGUACACUAUGAUUCGUCUGGGGUGGUGGUGGGGGUUUGGGUUGGGAGAAAUCUUUGGCGGCUCGUCCGGCCCCGACGUGGCGACGCCUGUGGGUGCCGCCGGACCUUCCUGAAGGGCGUCGGGUACACCCUCCCCCCACUGCCCCCCGCGUACCGGGGGAAACCCUAGGACUAGUCCGGGCAACAGCGGCGUCGUCGUCGUCUCCUUCUUGAAGGUGUUGCUUGGUACGGCGCUUCGGAGUGCUGGGAGCGUGGUGGUACUUCUUUGGAGGGUGCAGCGGUCGCCGGUCGUCUCCGUUCGUUGAUCUGCCGUUGCUGGCAUUAGUUUCUCUUUCUUUCUUCUCUGUUUUUCUUUGGGCUUGUUUGUGCUGCGGCCCCAGCACCUUUCGUUGGAUGUAUCGGUGGUUGCUUUGUAAUACAAAGCAGGGGAAACCCUUUUUCGUUAAAUAGGUGUUUGAUGAGAUUCCCCUUGCACAAAUAGGUGUUUGAUUUGUGAGGAAAACUAGGGGAGAGUGAAGAAAGCCAUUAGAUUACCUGGCCGGGGGCUAUCCGCGCACUCGAUCUUGAUGAGCUGCACUCCGCCAUGGUGUAGACCUGCUGCUAGCUGAUGCCGACAAAGACGAUGGCGCUGCUACUGGCACCCCCCUCAAGCUGCGUGAAGGCAACGUCCCAACUCAUCUUAAAGUCGUCGGCCCUGAAGUUGAGUUGGAUCCAUUGCCACGGCAUUGCCACCAUAGAGGACAUGACGGGAGAUUGCAGCAGGUCUACGGUUGCCGGAUCGUGACACCGCGAGAUUGGGCGAGAUGAAAAUUAGAUUAGAUUUUUUCCUUUGUUUUUGGAAGGAGACGGUUAGAGUUUAUGAGUCGACAGAGUUUUUUAAAAUUAAAGAUAUAUAGAUUCGUUUUAUCACGGGAGGAAGAAUCGGUAGAUUAAUGGAAUGCUUUUAUUACGGGAGGAAGCUUGCUUUUAAUACGGGAGGAAGAAUCGGUAGAUUAAUAGCAUUUUUUUUCGUUGUUGAGCAAAUUUUCAAGACAGGAUUAUGGAUUGAUCUACACCGUAAUAAUUCGGCCCCACCAGAUUAACGGCUCAUAAUUACUGAUUAACGUGGUAAUUUCUAGGAAGUCUGUAAUUAGUAUAGGUAUAGAUAGAUAGAUAGAUAGAUAGAUUGAUUGAUUGACCCGAGAUUAAGCCAUAGUGACCCGAGAUUAAGAAAAAAAACAAAAAAAUUGAUAAAAAAUUUUGAAAAAAAAAUUGUUACUAAUGACGCACUCCUAUGUGGUGCGCAAUUACUAAGUAAGAUAGUAAUGGCGCACCUCUAGGCAUACUAAUGGCGCACUACAGGUGCGCCAUUAGUAUCUGGUAUACUAAUGGUGCACCAGUGGUGCGCCAUUAGUAAAAAUACUAGUGGCGUGGUACUAGUGGCGCUCCAGUAGUGCGCCAUUAGUAGGCAAAACUGGUGCGCCACUAAUAGGCCUUUUCCUAGUAGUGGUUUGUGUAGGUGCGUGGGACUUUUGAGGAGCCUCCUACUGGAUUGAUGCCUUGGUUCUCAGAAAUUGAGGGAAAUACUUACGCUACUAUUGCUGCAUCACCCUUUCCUCUUCAAGGAAAACCAACGCAAGCUCAAGACGUAGCAAGAAGGAUUUCUGGCGCCGUUGCCGGGGAGGUCUUCGCUCAAGUCAAGACAUACCAAGUACUCAUCACAAACCUAUCUCUCUCGCAUUUACAUUAUUUUCCAUUUGCCUCUCGUUUUCCUCUCCCCCACUUCACCCUUGCCGUUUUAUUCGCCCUCUCUUUCCUAAUCUCUUCUCUCUUUUGCUUGCCCUUUCGUUUGCUCGUUUGGUUGGAAUAGAUGCUUAUUUAUUGCUAAACAGAGAACCUAAGAUCUAUGGAUCCUCAUCCGCCUGCUAAUCUUUUUAAGAGAUCCAAUUAUUAUGAACCAAUUGCUAGUGACUUUUGUGCACUAGAUUAUCUUUAUGAAGCUUUGCUCAAAAUUUGUGAAUCUGAAAAUUAUGAUAAAGAGAUUCACAAUAACUCCUUGAAUAAAAAGCAUGAUUGCAAUGAUUUUCCUAUAAAUUCUCUUGAUAUCAAUUGUGCUAAUAAUAUGCAAAACCCUAAGCUUGGGGAUGCUAGUUUUGUUAUGUCCACUACUUGUUUCAAUGAUCAUGAUUGGGGUGAUUCUUCUUAUAACCUUGAAAAUUUAUUUAAGCCCCAUGAUGAAUAUGAGACUAAUAAUAGUGUUUGCAAUAAUAUUGUAAGUGGGUUUGGAAGAGUGUCAACUUUAGAUCCCACAUAUUUGGAGUAUGUUCAAUCUUAUGAUAUUUUUGAUAAAAGUGGGUUCGGAAAGGUCAUGACUUUAGUUAAUGUUAAUCCCACUAUCUUGGAAGAGUGUCAACUUUGCAUGCAUGUGGAUCAUGUUGAGAAUAUGUUUUGUGAUAGCUAUUUUGUUGAAUUUGCCUAUGAUCCUACAUGUAAUUAUUAUGAGAGAGGAAAAUAUGGUCGUAGAAACUUUUAUCUUAUUAAAUUACCUCUCGUCAUGUUGAGAUUGCUAUCGUCUCUUUCUUGUUCCUUGCAUAUGCUAGUUUUUGCUUGCCUUGCAAAUUUGUUUGAUUAUAAUAUGCCUAUGCAUAGGAAGUAUGUUAGACUUAGAUGUGUUUGUCAUGUGUUUCAUGAUGCUCUCUUUGUGCUUCAAUUUUUGUCUUUCAUGUGAGCAUCAUUAAAAUUAUCAAUGUCUAGCUAGGGGCGUUAAACGAUAGCGCUUGUUGGGAGACAACCCAAUAUUUUUCCUUGUUGUUAUUUAAUAAAUUUUGCAUCUACUUUCUGUUUAGAUGUGUUUUUAUGUUUUAAUUAGUGUUUGUGCCAAGUAGAACCUAUAGGAUAACCUAUGAUGAUAGUUGAUUUGAUUCUGCUGAAAAACAGAAACUUUGCGCUCACUAGAAAAAAUUCAAUAAAUCACAGAAACGUGAUUUUGCAUUGAUUCUUUUUUCUGCUGAUCAAUAAACAACUUUUCCAGUACGUCCAAUUUUGGUAGGAUUUUUAGUGUUCCAUAAGUUUGUGUUAGUUACAGAUUGCUGAAGACUGUUCUGUUUUUGACAGAUUCUGUUUUUCGUGUGUUGUUUGCUUAUUUUGAUGCAUCUAUGGCUAGUAAAAUAGUUUAUAAACCAUAGAGAAGUUGGAAUACAGUAGGUUUAACACCAAAAUAAAUAAAUAAUGAGUUCAUUACAGUACCUUAUGUGGUGGUUUUUUUUUCUUUCACUAACGGAGCUUAUAAGAUUUCCUGUUGAGUUUUGUGUUGUGAAGUUUUCAAGUUUUGGGUAAAGCUUUUAUGGACUAUGGAAUAAGGAGUGGCAAAAGCCUAAGCUUGGGGAUGCCCAUGGCACCCCAAGAUAUUCAAGAAUAGCCAAAAGCCUAAGCUUGGGGAUGCCCCGGGAAGGCAUCCCCUCUUUCGUCUUUGUUCAUUGAUAACUUUACUUGGAACUAUAUUUUUAUUCGCCACAUGAUAUGUGUUUUGCUUGGAGCGUCGUGUAUUAUAUUAGUCUUUGCUUUUUAGUUUACCACAAUCAUCCUUGCUGUACACACCUUUUGGGAGAAGCCUACUUUAUUAUAAUUUGCUAGAAUACUCUAUGCGCUUCGCUUAUAUCUUUUGAGCUUGAUAGUUUUUGCUCUAGUGCUUCACUUAUAUCUUUUAGAGCACGGCAGUGGCACAAUUUUGAAGAAAUUGGUAGUCUCUCAUGCUUCACUUAUAUUAUUUUGGGAGUCUUUUAGAACAGCAUGGUAUUUGCUUUCGUUACAAAUUUGGUCCUAGAAUGAUGGGCAUCCAAGUUCGGUAUAAUGAAAACUAACAUAGGAAGUGAAUUGGAUGCUAUGAUCAAUUUGAUACUUGAUAAUUGUUUUGAGAUAUGGAGGUAGUGAUAUUAAAGUCAUGCUAGUUGGGUGAUUAUGAAUUUAAAGAAUUUUUGUGUUGAAGUUAGCAAGUCCCGUAGCAUGCACGUAUGGUUAAAGUUGUGUAACAAAUUUGAAACAUGAAGUGUACCCGGCUUGUGCAUCCUUAUGAGUGGUGGUCGGGGACGAGCGAUGGUCUUUUCCUACCAAUCUAUCCCCCUAGGAGCAUGCGUGCAGUGCUUGAUUUUCGAUGACUUCUAAAUUUUUGCAAUAAGUAUAUGAGUUCUUUUGACUAAUGUUGAGUCUAUUGAUUAUACACACUUUUAUCUUUGCACCAUUGCUAGCCUCUUCGGUACCGUGCAUUGCCCUUUCUCACCUUGAGAGUUGGUGUAAACUUCGCCGGUGCAUCCAAACCCCGUGAUACGAUACGCUCUAUCACACAUAAACCUCCUUAUAUCUUCCUCAAAACAUCCACCGUACCUACCUAUCAUGGCAUUUCCAUAGCCAUUCUGAGAUAUAUUGCCAUGCAAAUUUCCACCGUUCCGUUCAUCAUCAUCAUGACAUACUUUACUUUUGUCAUAUUGCCAUUGCAUGAUCAUGUAGUUGACAUCGUAUUUGUGGCAAAGCCACUAUGCAUUAUUUUUCAUACAUGUCACUCUUGAUUCAUUGCACCAUCCCAGUACACCGUCGGAGGCAUUCAUAUAGAGUCAUAUCUUGUUCUAGUUUUGAGUUGUAAUUCAUAUGUUGUAAUCAAUGAAAGUGUGAUGAUCAUCAUUAUUAGAGCAUUGCCCAAAAAGAAAAAAAAUAAGAAAGGCCAAAAAAAGGCCCAAACAAAAAAAAGAAGAAAGAAGAAAAAAAAGAAAAAAAAGAAAAAAAAUAAAAAUAAAAUAAAAUAAAAAGGGCAAUGCUACUAUCUCUUUUUCCACACUUGUGCUUCAAAGUAGCACCUUGUUCUUCAUGUAGUGAGUCUCAUAUUUUGUGCUUCAAAGUAGCACCAUGUUUUUCAUAUAGUGAGUCGCAUAGGUUGUCUUUUUCAUACUAGUGGGAAUUUUUCAUUAUAGAACUUGGCUUGUAUAUUCCUACGAUGGGCUUCCUCAAAUGCCCUAGGUCUUCGUGAGCAAGCAAGUUGGAUGCACACCCACUAGUUUUCUUUUGUUGAGCAUUCAUUUAUAGCUAUAGUGCAUCCGUUGCAUGGCAAUCCCUAAUCCUCAUGUUGACAUCAAUUGAUGGGAAUCUCCAUAGCCUGUUGAUUAUCCUCGUCAAUGUGAGACUUUCUCCUUUUUUGUCUUCUCCACACAAUUCCCGUCAUCAUAUUCUAUUCCGCCCAUAGUGCUAUAUCCAUGGCUCACGCUCAUGUAUUGCGUGAAGGUUGAAAAAGUUUGAAAUUAUUUAAGUAUGAAACAAUUUCUUGGCAUGUCGUCGGGGGUAUAGAAGUUGGGAACAUCUUUGUGUGACGAAAAUGAAGCAUAGCCUAACUAUAUGAUUUUGUAGGGAUGAACUUUCUUUUGCCAUGUUAUUUUGAGAAGACAUGAUUACUUUGAUUAGUAUGCGUGAAGUGUUACUAUUUCUUAUAUCAAUAUGAACUUUUAUUUUGAAUCAUUUGGAUCUGAACAUUCAUGCCACAAGAAAGAAAAUUACAUUGAGAAUUAUGCUAGGUAGCAUUUCACAUCAAAAAUUCUGUUUUUAUCAUUUACCUACUCGAGGACGAGUAGGAAUUAAGCUUGGGGAUGCUUGAUACGUCUCCAACGUAUCUAUAAUUUUUUAUUGUUCUAUGCUAUUAUAUUACCCCUUUUGGAUGUUUAUGGGCUUUAUUUUACACAUUUAUAUCAUUUUUGGGACUAGCCUACUAACCGGAGGCCCAGCCCGUAUUGCUGUUUCUUGCCUAUUUCAGUAUUUCGAAGAAAAGGAAUAUCAAACGGAGUCCAAACGGAGUGAAACCUUCGGGAGCGUGAUUUUUGGAACGAACGUGAUCCGGAGGACUUGGAGUGCAAGUCAAGAAGCAGCCGAGGCGGCCACGAGAGGAUAGGGCGUGCCCACCCCUAAACGGCGCGCCCCUGUCUCGUGGGCCCCUCGGGCGGCCACCGACGUACUUCUUCCUCCUAUAUAAGCCUACGUACCCGAAAACAUCCAGGGAGCACCCGAAACACAAUUUCCACCGUCGUAACCUUCUGUAUCGGCGAGAUCCCAUCUUGGAGCCUUCGUCGGCGCUCUGCCGGAGGGGGGGUCGAUCAUGGAGGGCUUCUACAUCAACACCAUAGCCCUUCUGAUGAGUUGUGAGUAGUUUACCACAGACCUUCAGGUCCAUAGUUAUUAUCUAGAUGGCUUCUUCUCUCUUUUUGGAUCUCAAUACAAUGUUCUCCCCCUCUCUUGUGGAUAUCUAUUCGAUGUAAUCUCUUUUUGCGGUGUGUUUGUCGAGAUCCGAUGAAUUGUGAGUUUAUGAUCAAGUUUAUCUAUGAGAAAUAUUUGCAUCUUCUCUAAAUUCUUUUAUGUAUGAUUGAGUUAUCUUUGCAAGUCUCUUCGAAUUAUCAGUCUGGUUUGGCCUACUAGAUUGAUCUUUCUUGCCAUGGGAGAAGUGCUUAGCUUUGGGUUCAAUCUUGCGGUGUCCUUACCCAGUGACAGAAAGGGUUGCAAGACACGUAUUGUAUUGUUGCCAUCGAGGAUAAAAAGAUGGGGUUUAUAUCAUAUUGCUUGAGUUUAUCCCUCUACAUCAUGUCAUCUUUCUUAAUGCGUUACUCCGUUCUUAUGAACUUAAUACUCUAGAUGCAUGCUGGAUAGCGGUCGAUGUGUGGAGUAAUAGUAGUACAUACAGGCAGGAGUCGGUCUACUUGUUGCGGACGUGAUGCCUAUAUACAUGAUCAUGCCUAUAUAAUCUCAUAAUUAUUCGCUUUUCUAUCAAUUGCUCGACAUUAAUUUGUUCACCCACCGUAAUACUUAUGCUAUCUUGAGAGAAGCCUCUAGUGAAACCUAUGGCCCCCGGGUCUAUCCUUUAUCAUAUUUGCUUCCAAUCUACUUUUAUUUGCAUCUUUAAUUUUUGCAUCUAUAUUAUAAAAUGCCAAAAAUAUAUUUAUCUUAUCAUAUUAUCUCUAUCAGAUCUCACUUUCGCAAGUGGCCGUGAAGGGAUUAACAACCCCUUUAUUGCGUUGGUUGCGAGUUCUUGGUUUGUUUGUGUAGGUGCGUGGGACUUUUGAGGAGCCUCCUACUGGAUGGAUACCUUGGUUCUCAUAAACUGAGGGAAAUACUUACGCUACUCACAACUAGGAAAAUGGCUAUAGAUGAAAUUGACACUAAUGGCGCACCACAUAUGUGGUGCGCCAUUAGUAUAUAGCAAUGGCGCACCACAUAUAAGUGUGCCAUUAAACUUCAAAUACUAAUGGCGCACCACAUACACGGUGUGCCAUUAGUAACAAAUUUUGUUUUUUACAAAACUAGUAAUGGCGCAUCAGGGGAUAGUGUGCCAUUACUAAUUUAACUAGUAAUGGCGCACCACACACUUAGUGGGCCACUACUAACAUAUAUUUUUUUCAAAGUUAGUAAUGGCGCACCAUACCCACGGUGCGCCAUUACUAAUUUUGACCCAAAAUUCCCCCCGAAUGCACCCCCCUUGGACCGCCUUUUCAGUUUAAAAAAAUAAAAGAAAAUGAUGGAAAUGUCAAAAAAAUAAAAGAAAAUCAUCUACUCGAAAAAUUACAUCAAAAUUUAACGGGGGAACCCUGUUAAACAUUUUCAAAAUCCUCAAAAACCUAACAGAAAAAAGUUAC
Molecule: long non-coding RNA, 7780 nt
Filed under: Triticum aestivum (bread wheat)
Lineage: Eukaryota; Viridiplantae; Streptophyta; Magnoliopsida; Poales; Poaceae
Description: long non-coding RNA (TAES_LNC000644)
Source: RNAcentral